This 636-nucleotide ribosomal RNA is filed under the name Hepatozoon sp. RNAcentral's name for it is "SSU rRNA". It matches the Rfam family "Eukaryotic small subunit ribosomal RNA", at positions 302 to 928 of the family's 1831-position model. The record is from RNAcentral. Lineage: Eukaryota; Apicomplexa; Hepatozoidae.
UGUUUCUGACCUAUCAGCUUUCGACGGUAUGGUAUUGGCUUACCGUGGCAGUGACGGUUAACGGGGGAUUAGGGUUCGAUUCCGGAGAGGGAGCCUGAGAAACGGCUACCACAUCUAAGGAAGGCAGCAGGCGCGCAAAUUACCCAAUUCUAAUAGCAAAAGAGAGGUAGUGACAAGAAAUAACAGUACAAGGCAAUUAAAAUGCUUUGUAAUUGGAAUGAUAGAAAUUUAAAUACUUUUUAAAGUAUCAAUUGGAGGGCAAGUCUGGUGCCAGCAGCCGCGGUAAUUCCAGCUCCAAUAGCGUAUAUUAAAAUUGUUGCAGUUAAAAAGCUCGUAGUUGAAUUUCUGCUAGAAAUAACCGGUUUGCUUUUAUUAAUAAAAGUGGUAUCUUGGUGUGUUUCUAGCAAUAAUGUUCUUUGAAAUGUUUUUUACUUAAUUGUAAAAAGCAAAUUUCAGGAUUUUUACUUUGAGAAAAUUAGAGUGUUUCAAGCAUGCUAACGUUUUGAAUACUGCAGCAUGGAAUAAUAAAAUAGGAUUUUAGUUCUACGUUAUUGGUUUUAAGAACUAAAUUAAUGAUUGAUAGGGGCAGUUGGGGGCAUUUGUAUUUAACUGUCAGAGGUGAAAUUCUUAGAUUUG